GACGAACGCUGGCGGCGUGCUUAACACAUGCAAGUCGAACGGAAAGGCCCUGCUUUUGUGGGGUGCUCGAGUGGCGAACGGGUGAGUAACACGUGAGUAACCUGCCCUUGACUUUGGGAUAACUUCAGGAAACUGGGGCUAAUACCGGAUAUGAGCUCCUGCUGCAUGGUGGGGGUUGGAAAGUUUCGGCGGUUGGGGAUGGACUCGCGGCUUAUCAGCGUGUUGGUGGGGUAGUGGCUUACCAAGGCUUUGACGGGUAGCCGGCCUGAGAGGGUGACCGGCCACAUUGGGACUGAGAUACGGCCCAGACUCCUACGGGAGGCAGCAGUGGGGAAUAUUGCACAAUGGGCGGAAGCCUGAUGCAGCAACGCCGCGUGCGGGAUGACGGCCUUCGGGUUGUAACCCGCUUUCGCCUGUGACGAAGCGUGAGUGACGGUAAUGGGUAAAGAAGCACCGGCUAACUACGUG
RNAcentral lists this ribosomal RNA (468 nucleotides) under uncultured bacterium. RNAcentral describes it as "partial 16S ribosomal RNA". It matches the Rfam family "Bacterial small subunit ribosomal RNA", at positions 28 to 507 of the family's 1533-position model. The record is from RNAcentral.